CCCUUAGAUGUCCUGGGCCGCACGCGCGCUACAAUGACAUAUGCAGCAAGUCAUUUUUACUUCCUGACCCGUAAGGGCUUGGGUAAUCUUGGAAAUGUAUGUCGUGUUAGGGAUAGAUCUUUGCAAUUAUGGAUCUUGAACGAGGAAUUCCUAGUAAGUGCAAGUCAUCAGCUUGUACUGAUUACGUCCCUGCCCUUUGUACACACCGCCCGUCGCUCCUACCGAUUUCGAGUGGUCCGGUGAACCUUCUGGACUGCAGAUGUGUUAAGCAUCAGCGGAAAGUUAAGUAAACCUUAUCACUUAGAGGAAGGAGAAGUCGUANCA
Molecule: ribosomal RNA, 324 nt
Filed under: uncultured eukaryote
Lineage: Eukaryota
Description: partial 18S ribosomal RNA
Rfam family: Eukaryotic small subunit ribosomal RNA
Source: RNAcentral